This 266-nucleotide ribosomal RNA is filed under the name uncultured prokaryote. Its description in RNAcentral is "partial 16S ribosomal RNA". It matches the Rfam family "Bacterial small subunit ribosomal RNA", at positions 524 to 789 of the family's 1533-position model. The record is from RNAcentral.
UACGUAGGGUGCGAGCGUUAUCCGGAAUCACUGGGCGUAAAGGGCGCGUAGGUGGUCUGUUAAGUCUGGCGUUAAAGCCUGGGGCUCAACCCCAGAUCAGCGUUGGAUACUGGCAGGCUAGACGGUUGGAGAGGCGAGUGGAAUUACCAGUGUAGCGGUGGAAUGCGUAGAUACUGGUAGGAACACCCAUUGCGAAGGCAGCUCGCUGGACAACACGUGACACUGAGGCGCGAAAGUGUGGGGAGCAAACCGGAUUAGAUACCCGU